ACCCCUACGGGGGGCAGCAGUAGGGAAUAUUGGGCAAUGGGCGAAAGCCUGACCCAGCCAUGCCGCGUGCAGGAUUGACAGCUCUAUGAAUUGUAAACUGCUUUUAUUUGGAACGAACAAAACCGAUUCUUCGGUAACUGACGGUACCAGAUGAAUAAGCACCGGCUAACUACGUGCCAGCAGCCGCGGUAA
RNAcentral lists this ribosomal RNA (192 nucleotides) under uncultured bacterium. RNAcentral describes it as "partial 16S ribosomal RNA". It matches the Rfam family "Bacterial small subunit ribosomal RNA", at positions 335 to 523 of the family's 1533-position model. The record is from RNAcentral.